RNAcentral lists this long non-coding RNA (6383 nucleotides) under Sus scrofa (pig). RNAcentral's name for it is "lncRNA (ENSSSCG00000059893.1)". The record is from RNAcentral. Lineage: Eukaryota; Metazoa; Chordata; Mammalia; Artiodactyla; Suidae.
GGGUCAAACUGGAGCUAUAGCCAUCAGCCUACACCAUAGCCACAGCAAUGAGGGAUCUGAGCCAUGUCUGCAACCUAUACCACAGCUCACAGCAACACCAUACCCUUAAUCCACUGAGCAAGGCCAGGGAUCAAACUCACAUCCUCAUGGAUGUCAGUUUUGUUAACCACUGAGCCACAAUGGGAACUUCUGCUUAUCCAUUCUUAGUAGUUUGCAUCUACUAACCCCAAACUCCCAGUACAUCCCACUCUCUCCCCCCUCCCCCUUGGCAGCCACACAAGUCUGUUCUCUACGUUCGUGAGUCUGUUGUUUUGUAGAUAGGUUCAUUUGUGCUAUAUUUUAGAUUCACAUGUAAGUGAUACCACAUGAUCCAGCAGUCCUACUCCUAGGUAUAUGUCCAAACAAAACUAUAGUUCAAAAAGAUACAUGCACCCGUAUGUUCAGAGUAGCACUAUUCACAAUAGCCAAGACAUGGAAACAACCUCAGUGUCCAUCAACAGAUAAAUGGAUGCAGAAGAUGUGACACAUACAUAAAAUGGAAUAUUAUAAAGCCACAAAAAGAAUGAAAUAAUGGCAUCUGCAGCAACAUGGAUGCAACUAGAGAUUUUCAUACUAAGUGAAAUAAGUCAGGAGAAAGACAAAAAUUUUUUUAUGAGGGAAAGAAUAUAGAUAUUUUCCCAAAGAUAUACAAAUGGCAGACAUAUGAAAAGUUGUUCAACAUGACUUAUUACUAGGAAAAGUCAAGUCAAAACUACAAUGAAAUAUUAGCUCACAUCUGUUAGAAUGGCGAUCAUUAAAAAAAAAGCUAUAACAGGUGCUAGAUGAGGAUGUGGAGAAAAAAGAACCCUUGUGCACUGUUGGUGGGAUUGUAAACUGGUACAACCACUGUGGAAAGCCUUAUGGAUGUUCCUCCAAAAAUUAAAAGUAGAACUACCAUAUGCUCUAGCAGUUUCACUUCUGGGAAUUGUCCAAAGGGGGGAAAACACUAUGCUGAUGAGAUAUCUGCACCCGCAUGUUCACUAGCAUUAUUUACAGUAGCUAAAGACAUUGAAACAGCCUAAGUGACCAUCAGUGGGUGGAUAGAUAAGGAGGUUGUGGUGUGUAGGCAAAUGCACAGGAAUAUUAUUCAGCCAUGUAAAAGGAAAUCCUGCCAUUUGCAACAGCAUAAAUGGACUUUGAGGGCAUUAUGCCAAGUGAAAUAAGAGGACAGAGAAAGAAAAAUAAUGUAAAUCUCACUUACAUGUGGAAUCUAAAAAACAAAAACCCAAGCUCAGAAAAAGACUUGUGGUUACCAAAAGUGGAGUGUAGGGAGAGGGGUCAAUUGGAUAAAAUUGAUUAAAAUGUACAAAUGUCAAAUUAUAAAUAUAUACUGGGGAUGUAAUAUACAGCAUGAUAACCAGAAUCACUAUUAAUACUGCCAUAUAGCUUAUAUAAAAGUUAAGAUAUAAUUGACAUACAAGUGAAAAGAUAACCUGUAGAAUGCAAGAAAAUAUCUGCAAUCAUAUUUCUAAAAAGGGUCAUAUAUACACAGCAUAUAUAAAGAACUGCCCCAACUCAUCAAGACAAGAAACCCAAUUGAAAAGUGGACAAAGAGUUUGAACAGACAUUUCUCCAAAGAUAUAAAUGGCCAAAAAGCACAAGAUGCUCAGUGUCAUUAGCAGUUAGGGAAAUGCAAAUGAAAGCCAUAAUGAGAAACAAUUUCACAUCCACUAGCACAUCUGUAAAAAAUAAGAAAAAAAAAGUACUAAGUAUUGCAGGGAAUGUGGAAAAAUGGGAUUCCUUGUGUACUGCUGAUGAGAAUGUAAACUGAAUGGUGCAGCUGCUGCUAAAAACAGUCUGGCAGUUCCUAAGUAAAUUUUAAAUCCAUGCCUAGGUGUGUACCCAAAAGAACUGAAAACCAGGUACUCAAACAAAUGUAGAGGAAUGUUUAUAGCAGCACUAAUCACAAUAACCAAAAUGUAGAAAACUACCCAAGUCCACAGAUGGGUAAGUGGAUAAAUAAAAUGGUAUGUACAUUUAAUGGAAUAUUACUCAUCCAUAAAAAGGAAUAAGCUACUGAUACAUGCUCCAGUGUGAUGAACCUCAAAAACAUGCCAAGGUGAAAGAAGCCAGACACAAAAAUUACAUAAUGUUGCAGUCCAUUUAUACGAAGUAUUCAAAAUAGAUAAACUCAUAGGCAAAAAGUAAAUUAUUUCUAGGGGCAACAGGGAAGAGGGUAUAGGGACUGUCUGAUUAAAGAGGACAAAAUCUUCUUUUGGCUUUUUUGGGGGUGGGGGCCUCACCCACAGCUUCAAAGUUCCUGAGCUAGGGUUCAAACCCAUGCCACAGCAGUAACCCAAGCUGCUGCAGUGACAACGCCCAAUCCUUAACCCACUGCACCGCAAGAGAACUCUGAUUCUUUCUUGACUUUAGUCAUCUGUAUAAUCUGCACUCCCUUCUCCUUUUUUGGCACAAAUGAUGUUUUUUUAAAUAUUAUUUAUGGUGCUUUAUGAAUUUAACUUCAAGCCCAGCCAACUAGCUUUCCCAAACUCCUUUUAUAUAGAAAUUCAAUUCCACCACUACAUUAUUCUUUUAAUAGCUACAAUCAUAAUACCUCUGCUUAAAAAACAAUAGCUUUUUCAGACUCACAUAGAGAACAAAUUUGUGGUUGUUACGGGGGGAGGAGGUUGGGGAGGGAUGGAGUGAAAAGUUCGGGUUAGCAGUUGGAAGCUAACUUACAUGAAGGGGAUGAUCAAUAAGGUGCUAUUGUACAGUACAGAGAGCUAUAUUCAAUGUGCUGUGAUAAACCACAAUGGGAAAGAAUGUGACUUUAAAAGGAAUGUGUGCGUGUAUCUGAACCACUUUGCUGUACUGCAGAAACACAACAUUGUAAAUUAACUAUACUUCAAUCUAAAAAAAUUAAAAACAAAAAACCAGUAGCUUUUCUUUACCUUUAAAAUGAGGUCUAAGAUUUCCCCGAUGUGGUGCAGCGGAAACAAAUCCAACCAGUAUCCAUGAGGAUGUGGGUUCGAUCCCUGGCCUUGUUCAGUGGGUCUGGGAUCCAGCGUUGUCGUCAGCUGUGGUGUAGUUCGCAGAUGUGGCUCGGAUCCCACAUUGCUGUGGCUGUGGUGUAGGCUGGCAGCUACAGAUUUGACCCCUAGCGUAGGAGCUUCCAUAUGCCAGGGGUGCGGCCCUAAAAAGCAAAAAAAAAAAAAAAAAAAAAAAAAAAAUUUUAAUUAAAAAAUAGGUCUGAAUAGCAAAGUCCAUUAACUAGUCCUCUUAAACCUGGUUCCCAUCUUACCUUUCCAACUUUGUUUCCCAUUAUUUACUUUCAUUGACCCAUUCACUUUUUCCAACAAGUACUUCAUACAUUUGUUUUUCUUUAUAUUUUCCCUCUGCCUAGAAAAUACUUCCCAAUACAUUGUCCAACUCUGUAUAUACUCAAAUCCUAUUUGAUCAAUACCCAACUGAUUACUAAUUUAGUUAAAAUUCUUUUUAAAAAUUCCCAUAGCACUUUAUCUGAACCUCCCUUACAGCAACUUUUUUUUUUCUAGCUUUGCCUGAGGCAUGCAGAAGGUUCCUGGGCCAUGGACUGAACCCAAGCCACAGCAGUAACCUAAGCCAUAACAAUGAUAAUGCCAAGUCCUUAACCACUAGGCCACCAGGGAACUCCCCUACUUUUGAUGAAAAUCUAUCUCAGACCCUCAGUAUCCUCCUCUAUCUUAUUCUUUUGCACCUCCUGUGCCUUUGCACAUACCCAACCUAUCACCAAUCUCCAUACCUGCCCAAACGCUUUUUCACCUUUGACAUCUGUCAAAUAAUACCCCAAUUAUUCCAAAUUAUGCUGUUCAGUGAAUUCCUUUAGCAAUCACAAUAGCUUCAAAAUGGAUAAAUUUCCUCAAGACACAGUGAAUUCUGGCAGAAACAUGUAAUCAUCUGAAAUAAUGUAGAGACUACAUAUACCCGAUUAGGACAGAGAAGAAUCUUUAGUUUCCUUGUAACUUUGAAACCAAGAUUAUGAUUUCUAUUUUCCUUUUUAAAAAAAGGAGGUAUUUACCUACUGAUAUGAUAAAGGUAAGAUCAUCAAGGCAUAUGAGUGAAAAAGAACAUUCAUAUUAUGUAUGCACAUGUACGUAUACACAACCACACACAUUAAAAACAUAACAAAGUUAAUGGUAAUUAGCCCUGGGGGACAUUGAAAGUAGAGUGGGGAGAAAUUAAGGAGGACUUAAAACAUUUUUCUUCAUGUACUGUGGAUCUGUUACAAGUAUAUACUCAAGUUUCACCUCUUUUUUUUUAAGGCUGCGCCUGAGGCAUAUAAAAGCUCCCAGGUCAGGGACUGAACCUGCAUUAGAGCAGCAACUCAACCAUUGCAGGACAAUGCUGGAUCCUUAACCCACUGUGCCACAAAGGAACUCCACAAGUUUUAUACUACCUUGAAAAAACAAAAUUAAAAACACUGAGUGAACACAAGGCUGUGACUCAGUUUAUCCAGGUCACACAUGAGACAAGAUACUUGCUACUUGGAGAUGAGAACAAUGACACUGUGAACAAAAAAAAACCACAGAGGUUCUAACCUUUUGAGGGAUAAGGAAGGCAGAAAUUGACUCAAAGAAAAGCCGAGGAUCAAAGAGUUACAAAGGGCUUGCCAAAAGCCUUUCAUUAAAUGGGAGAACUGAGCUUAGAGGCAAGGCCUAUGGAUUUGAAAUUCUGAGCCCUUUUCACAAUACCACAAUACACAGUCCCUUAUAAUCACAAGAUAAUUAACCACUACCUUUUAUCUCCAGAGCUGCUAAGGAUUAAAAGCGCCAAGGAUUCACUGGUUAAAACCUGUCUGGAAACCAUUAUAUCAGCAAUAUAACAGGACCUGGCAUAAUCAUCAAUUAUUAUCAUGGUUUUUCUGUUUCUGCUAAGUUAAUCUAUCCCCUAACAGACCAUCCAGGCAGUACAAUCUGUUGUGGGUUUGUGGAUCCCAAUAAACAACACCUCUUUUACCUGAGUUCAGAACCAAUAAAGGAUGAAAGAAAUGAUCACACAGAGAUUAAAAUGACACCCUUACUACUGAUAAAGGAUUUGAGGACAACACUUAGGUGUAGAGUUUCCAAUACUGAAUUCUAAAAUGAAGCUUUACUACUCAGUCACCGAAAAUACUGAAAAGCAAAACCAGGCCCCUGUGAUGCCAAAAUCACAGAAGACCAGAAAUACAUUCUGCAGGAAGUCUGGCUGUCUCCCAGAGAAAAAAAGAGGAAAGAGGAGACUGAGGCAUACUCAAGUGCCUCAGUGAGGAGAUGGGCUGCUAGACAUACCCAAGUUCCUCUCUCCCCCAAAAGCACCACAAAGGAAGGAGCAGGAGCAAAGAGAGCUCCUAUACCAGAGGAAAUCUCAAGAGGGGACUACAUGAUCUCCCUAAGUUCUUUCUUAGAUUUCAGUUUGUAGAGAGUAAGACUUCAUGGUUACCAUACACUAGAGGCCCAUGGAUCUCUUUAGGGCUCCUGAGAUCCUUUGGGGGCUCUGGAAAUUAAAAAAUAAUACUAAGAUGUGAUUUGCCAUUUCCACUGAUGGUACAAUUUGGGUUCAACUGUUGACCUUAGCAUGAUCGAGGUAGCAGCUGCUGUGUCCAUUACUGCCACAUACUCAGUAAAAAUGCCACCGGCAUGUAAGAAUACUUACGAUGAAGCAGGAAAAUCAUUUUUGUUAAUCUGACUCUUCUGUAAACAGCAUUUUAAUACUGAAAAAAAUAGGAAAACAAAGUACUUAUACUACAUAGAAAGUAUAAUACAUGCCUCAAGGAAAAGCACUGGUGUGGUUGAAGGGCAAGCUGAACUUUUUUCAUGGAAUAGCACUGUUACUUAAAAAAAUGACUGAAAAACAAAACUGACAGAUGUGUAUCUGGCAGUCAUUUUCCUGAAGUGAGGCUGAGAACACAAUUUAUAGUGCUUAUAGCUAAAUGUUAAAAAUAAAGCUUGGAGUUCCCAUUGUGGUACAGUGGAAAUGAAUCCAACUAGAAACCAAGAGGUUGUGGGUUCGAUCCCUAGCCUCGCUCAGUGGGUUAAGGAUCCAGCAUCGCCGUGAGCUAUGGGAUAGGUCGCAGACACGACUCGGAUCCCACAUUGCAGCUACAGCUCCGAUUAGACUCCUAGCUCCCAUUAACCUCCAUAUGCCGUGAGUGCAGCCCUAGAAAAGACAAAAAUAAAUAAAGCUUGUAAGCAAAAAUUAAAAUUUUAGAAAAUUUGUAUAUACCACUCUGAGCUUGAGAACUUCCCAAUACUUAACCUUGCUCUGAUACUGGUGGUAUUGGUGAGAAAAACGAAUGUGAUUUGAAUAAUGCAUAAUGAAAUGGGUCAACAUUUAGGAGAUCUACAUAACUCAAUAAACAAAUAUUUUCCAAAUGACCAGUGCAUGAU